This 248-nucleotide ribosomal RNA is filed under the name uncultured Parcubacteria group bacterium. RNAcentral describes it as "partial 16S ribosomal RNA". It matches the Rfam family "Bacterial small subunit ribosomal RNA", at positions 439 to 700 of the family's 1533-position model. The record is from RNAcentral.
UGAGGGAAGAAGUUUAUUGACGGUACCUCAUGAAUAAGGGGCUCCUAAUCUCGUGCCAGCAGGAGCGGUAAUACGAGAGCCCCGAGCGUUAUCCGGAAUUAUUGGGCGUAAAGGGUGCGUAGGUGGCACUGUUAGUCGUUUGUCAAAUCUCCAAGCUUAACUUGGAAUCCGCGAACGAAACGGCAGAGCUAGAGAGUGUGAGGGGUAUAGGGAACUCAUGGUGUAGGGGUGAAAUCCGUUGAUAUCAU